Molecule: RNA transcript, 3163 nt
Organism: Quercus lobata
Lineage: Eukaryota; Viridiplantae; Streptophyta; Magnoliopsida; Fagales; Fagaceae
Gene name: cyclic nucleotide-gated ion channel 1-like
Exons: 8
Source: RefSeq, a predicted model, not a curated record
UUUUUUGCCUUUUGCUUUUUUCUCACAUUACUCAUAUAACCAAACAAUUCCAAUUCUUCAUCACCAGCAAGAUCAAUCGCCGCCGCCGCCAAAGCAAUCGCCGGUGAAAGCGUUAGAUUAAGAGUUCUGAAAGAGAUGGGAGUGGAACUUCGAAACGUGAGCUCGCAUUGCUCCGUCGAGAGGCAGCGAUCGUUCGACGGUGAUGAACCUGACGGUGGAGCUGUGGAGGCCGGCGGUGGCUAGUGAAGAUUUUAACAGCCAAGGGUAAAUGGUAUUACACACUAUUUUACACGUCAGUGCAUUCUUAGGUACUCUCGGAGGUACUUUCGGAGUUAGGAGAAAUAAUGUUUCCUCUUCUCACAUGGUGGCUCCAUUAUGAAUUUAAUAAGUGGUGAGAGAAGAGAGCAUCAUUAUCUGUGUUCUAGAAACACUUAAGAAUUACUCGUGGCAUGUGUGUACGAAUGUGUAAAACAGUGUGUAUAUAACAAACACUUCUAGGAAAAAUUUGCUAAAUUGCAUAAUUUUAGGAAAAAUUUGCUAAAUAGCAUCUGACCAAAGUUAUUAGAAUUAUGUUUAAUUAGAUUGGCAUAAUGCUUGGAAACUCGAGUUCCAAAAAGAUGCUACAUAACUAAAUAACUUUGGCCCUGUGCUUUUUUCCUACAUUAUUUCUAAAAUUAUGCUAUUUGGCAAAAAAUGAUGUGACAUGUAUUUGGGUUUGUGGAUUUGACACUUUGUAUUUCUGACUUGGUGAUGAUGUGUUUAUUUUUUACUUUGUUGUCACUUUGUUAUUGGUCCAUUUGAUCAUACUGAUAAUUCAUGGAUGAGCAAUGAUUGAUAAGACAAAGAAAAAGUGAAAAAUUAUUCAAAGAAAGACUUGAGGGUUGACUGUUGGCAAUGAUUCAAUAACUAGAAAUAAUUUAAUGAGAACAGCAAGAGUACCCCUUGUUUAUAACUUGCAUAUGCAUUUGCACACUCUUAAAAUCCUUUGAAAAGCCUGUGAAAUGGCUGCAAGUCAAGUUCAUUAGUUUCAAUCCCAUGUUAUCUAUUUAUAGAUAUAUUGUUUAGUUUGGAGGUUGAUUCUUUAUUUUCUGACAUUGUAUCUUUGAGAAGCUUUAAGUUAUGAGCCUCCGUGGGCAUCGGAAAGAAAAUGGUGUGAGGAAUCAUGAUAAUGAGAGGCAAGUUCUCAUGAAUGAUGGAGUUGAUCCAGGGAAACAAGGAACAAUGAGAAAGACAAUUCUUCAGAAUCUUAAACUAGAGAAUAAGUACCUGCAAAUGUGGAAUAUGAUGUUUGUUGUUUCUUGUACAAUUGCAGUAUCAGUGGAUCCUCUGUUCUUUUAUCUUCCUGUGAUCAAUGAAGAAACAAGUGCCUAGCAUUGGAUAAUAAAUUAAAAAUUGCAGCUAUUUGUUUGCGAUCAGUCACCGAUAUGGUUUAUGUCAUGAAUAUCAUUUUGCAAUUUCUUUGCCCUUAUAUAGAUGAGGCUCCUCUGAAACUUGGAUGAACUGUGUUAGUUACAGAUGCUUGGCGAAUAGCAAAGAGGUACUUGUUGUCCUACUACCUAAUCGACAUUCUUGCUAUUCUUCCCAUCCCACAGGUGGUAGUGCCCAUUAUUUUUUCGGAAAUGAGGGGCUCGGGAUUCUUGAAUAAAAGGAAGUUCCUGAAUGCUGUUGUUCUUUUCCAAUAUGUGCCAAGAGUUCUACGAAUCUACCUAUCAUGGAGGAAACUUAUCAGCACUGACAACAACCUUUCCAGAAUUGUAUGGGUGAAAGCUGCUUUCAAUUUCUUUCUAUAUAUCCUUGCCAGUCAUGUGCUGGGUGCCUUCUGGUAUUUCUUUUCUAUCGAACGAGAGACAGCUUGCUGGCACAUAGCCUGUAGAAAUCAUAUUGGAUGCAAUCAAAGUUCAUUUAACUGUCGUUAUAGUGUAGGAAAUCAAACAUUUUUAAAUGAUUAUUGCUCAGUAGAGACACCAAAUGCUGCAACUCCUUUUAAUUUUGGAAUAUUCAUUGACGCCAUUAAAUCUGGUACCGUGGCAUCCAAUGAUAUUCCUAAAAAGUUUGCAUACUGUUUCUGGUGGGGCCUGCGAAAUUUGAGUUCUCUUGGUCAAAACCUUCAAACAAGUACUUAUAUCUGGGAAAAUUGCUUCGCUGUUUCGAUUUCAAUCUUUGGCUUUCUGUUGAUUUUGUAUUUCAUUGGAAAUUUGCAGACAUAUAUGCAAUUAGCAACUCAAAGGUCGGAGGAGAUUAUACAAAAGUUGAAAUCUAAAGAACUGGAUGUAAAGUUGUGGAUUCAUAGAAACGAGCUCCCACCUGGUCUAGAAUACGAGAUCAUGCACAACAUUCCACACAUACUAGAAGAAAAGAAAGAUAUUGAUGCAGAGAAGCCACUUCUUCAUCUUCCCAUAGAACUCAAAAGGAAGAUUAAGCACCAUCUUUGUGAGCCUCUUCUAAAGAAAGUGCCAAUGCUUGGUAAAAAAAACCAACUGUUGCAAAUGAUAUGUGACUAUCUCAAGCCAGUGUACUACAAUGAGCACAGCUAUAUUGUUCGGGAGGGAGAACCACUUGAUGCAGCGAUUUUUGUCACGCAAGGCAUUAUAUGGAGCUUUGCAACCAGUAAUGGUGAGGGUACUGUCUCCUCAGGGGCUCAGUGCAUUGAAAAAGGUCAUUUUUAUGGACAAGAUCUUCUAGAUUGGGCUUUGAACGACUCCCCCACAUCACUUGACCUAUCCAAGCUCCCAAUCUCUACAAAAACUGUCAAAACCCAUGCAAAAGUUGAAGGCUUUGCUCUAAUGGCCAACGACUUGAAGACUGUAGUUUCCAAAUGGAAAACCGAAGCAGCUUCUGCUUUACAAGCCGCAUGGCGCCGCCGCAGCCAUCCUGAAAAGAAGAAUGAAAAGCCUUCCCAGUCGGCUUCAGAAAACAAAAACUAGCUAUCAUGCUGGUUAAGCUGCUUUUAGAAUAAAAAUUCAGAAGUUCCUGAUGUUGUUGUUGAAAAGCUAGUUCGCUAGUGACAGAGUUGCUAGUUUUUUGAAAUUAGAUGAUGAACACAUUAGGCAAUAACCCCGGAAUGGGGACAAUAUUUGUUUUAAUUGCUUUGAAUAUUGUUUGUAAGAGCCUUUUAAAGCUUCAUUAUUUUUUAUUAUGGGUUGAAACAAAAGAGCUAUGGACA